Long non-coding RNA from Andrographis paniculata, 2940 nucleotides. RefSeq lists it as uncharacterized. Lineage: Eukaryota; Viridiplantae; Streptophyta; Magnoliopsida; Lamiales; Acanthaceae. The transcript has 3 exons. The record is from RefSeq and is a predicted model, not a curated record.
UCAAGAAAAAGGUAUAGUUAGACAAAACUCACAUCGCCAUGGCGCCUGCCUCUGCCCGCACCCGAAGCCGCACCACCCCCAACCACCGUAGAUCGCCGCCCAAACCAUUUCCGUUCAGAGCCACCGCGACCACAGCUUGUCCAUCGCCCAUCUUCUUUUUGACUGAGCUAAGGCCGCCGUGAACCACCACCGAAUCGACGUGCUCCUCCACUUCUUGGUCCCGACCGCCGUGCCUUCGCUUUCUCCUAGCCCAACAACUCCAACCGAUGCCGUCUUCUCCUACUCUCAAUCACAAUUGUUUGGGUACUUUACUAUCUUCCCCUUCAAUUGCAGGUGAAAUUGUUCCAAUUGUGCUUUAUUUAUGUACACUAAUUUUGGAGGAAUUUUUUUUGUUGUCCCUCUUCUCAGUCACGAUUAUUAGGUUAAUUGUUUUUAUUGUGUUUGAAUUAAGAUUGAAAUUGAUUUUUGAAGGAAUUUCAGCUUGGUUAGAACAUUGGUGUGAUAUAGGGGUAUGUUUAGUUGGUUGCUUUGGACUGAUACUCCCGAAGUGACAAUUUCGAAUUGAAUUUGGUUUUUCUUUGGAGUUCUUGUUCUUGUUUUUUUGGUUGGUAGAUGAUGUUUUGUGAAAUCUGAUUAUUUUUUGGGCAUAUUCCAUGAUUUGGAUUAAUACUUCAUAAUGAUACACAUUGUUAAUUCUAAUUUGAAUAUAGUCUUCUUUUUGAGUUAUUGUUUGUGGUUGCAAGAUGUUUUGCGGUGGAUCCUCGAAAUAAUAUUAGGAUUUGAACUCAAAUAUGAAACCUUUUGAACUUAAAUUAAACUUUAAAUUGACUUUUUUGAGGUAAAUUGUCUUUGUUGGGCUUAAUUUGAGGUUUACGGUUGAGGUUGGUAUUGAUUUUUAUAAUGGAAUUCAAUUUCCCUGCUGUUAGAAGGUAUGAGAUGGUUUUCUUUUGUUGUGUGAAUUAAUAUUGAUAUAAUGAAGUGAAUAAGCAUUGGUGAUGACUCGAGUGCUUCCCUUGGAAUCCAUUUUGUAUAGUGUUUAUGGGCUUCUAUAAUUAAAAAAAUCACAAUGAACAAUUGUUUCGAGGAUCCUACAGAGUGAUGACAGAAUGAUGGCUCCUCUUACAUGAAUUUAAAGGCUUUGAAAGAAUAUCUGAUUUUCUCCUUAGCUCUAUGAAAGAACUCUUCGGUGUCUUCCCACUUCUAGUUGAAACUUGUUUUUUUUCAGUGUUAGAUUAAAGUGAGUAAUUGCAAACACACUUUUAAUGAUUUUAUGUUUUUUAGAUUUUCCUUCAUGGAAAAUGCACAAAUGAACCGUCCUUUUUUAUUUUUUUUCUUUAUUUAAGGGUUUGCAUUUAGUUUCACACUAACUUAUUAUGAGAGCACGUACAUAAUCGGUUGGAUUUCAGUUACUUCAGUCCAUUGUUGAACUCAAUAGCACAAAGAUCUUAAGACAAUCAUAUUGUUAUUGGAGAUGAUCUGGAAGAGAGGGAAGAUUUUAUUUCAAUGCCCAAAUAUGGUGUUUGUUUCUUGCAACUUAUGCCCGAUCAAAAUUAAGGUUAUUCUCUAACUUUUUUGUCUAGUAGUGUUUUCUGAUGCUGAUCCACAAUGUUGGUAGUCUGCUUUAGUCUUCUAGUUAAUUAAUAGCAUGUUCCUAAUUCGACAUUCAUUUAUGCAAAUUGAGUGUUAAGUAAGAUUCUGAACUGGUUUUCUAAAUUCACAUGUGAUGGAAAGAAGUUAAAUAAAAAUCAUAAAAAAGCCUUCUUUAAUGGACUCAAGAUAUCGAGUCUGUACUUACCUGCUUUAUUCCAGCAGUUAAACUAAGUUGAAUAUGUUUUAAUCAGGUUCUACGCUUACAUUGUAAUAAGAUCCAACUCAUCCAGUUUAACUCACCAUUGUUAACCAGUUCAAUUGUGCUCGCCACCAUGGAUGAUUUGUCAGUACAAUUUGCAAACGUAAUUUUGGUUUGUUGGAGUUUUGCUUCAAUGUUGUAUUAGGUUGGCUGGAUUUUUGUUGGAGUUUUGUAUUGGUUUUCCAACUGAACUUUUUGUAUGGUUUAUGUAGAUGAUCUCUUGUAGCAUGUUGUAGUAGGGCGAUGCUCCUUUCAGAUGGAAGAGUCGGAUUGGCAGGCUGAAUUGUUUGAUUCUUCCUUCUUGACUCUAUGGCUGGUGGGAUGUUUGGUAUCUCCACUGACCGUUAAGUUGUUCAAACUUGGAAGGAUUUUGGCGGCUGGUUCUGUGGCCUUUUGUUUUGGUUUUUGCUGAUGGUAGAUUAUUGCAGUUUAAUUGGAGGCAUUAUAUUUAUAUCUUUGUUGGUGUUGAGGCUUGAAUCAACCGAUUACUGCUUGUAAAUUGCUUGUAGUAUUUUUGUUCUAGAUUACUAAAUUGCAGGUAGAAGUUGAGGCCAUCUGAGAUUAUGUAGAGAAGGAAGAGCAAUUGAAAGAGCAGAGGAGAGUUGUGAAGCAGUUGCAGCAAGAGUCAGGGAGCUUAAGAAAUAGGUCGUAUCAAGAGGCUGUAGGGCUGCAUAUUGAAGCAUUCUGGAAGAGGAAUUACCUGGUGGUAGUGGGUGCAGAUGAGUUGUGAUCUCCAUUCUGCUAUGGUGGAUCUUUGGCAUUUCCAAUACUUAAAUUAGUUUCUCGGUGGGCAUGACGAAUUAUGACUUCCUAGCGCUUUCCUCUACUCUCGUCACCUCUACUAUGAGUAUUUUGCAGCAUCUACAGUUUAUGGUGUUCAAUUUUGUUGAUUAGGUACAAUUGAUCAGCCCCUCCCUUCAGCCCCCCUCCAAAAUUCUGCAACCAUCAGCAAUUAUGCAAUCAGGGAAAUCUUGGCUUGAAUGUUGAUAAUGUAUAUAGCUUGCUUCCUGAUUAUUUUUUUGUAUUUGUCUUGAUUAUUGUACGUUGGAUUAGAUUGGUUUAGGUUGUUUAAUUUAUGCUUACUUCCUUAA